This is a long non-coding RNA of Harpia harpyja (harpy eagle), 695 nucleotides long. RefSeq lists it as uncharacterized. The transcript is spliced from 2 exons. The record is from RefSeq and is a predicted model, not a curated record. Lineage: Eukaryota; Metazoa; Chordata; Aves; Accipitriformes; Accipitridae.
CCAAUGCCGCUAGAACUAUUUAAAUGUUUGUCAUCACAACUUGAUCAAGAGGUUGGUUUCUUAGGAAGUUGCAAGAUGCGAAAAUAGACAAGAAACCAAACACAAGAAUAAAUCAAACCAGAAACUGAAAAUCUUAACUGUGCUUUACUGCGGGAGGUGUACACUGCAUGAAUACACCGUGAGCAGAUACCGGAGUUCAAUGGCAGUGAAUAUACAACGCAUUUUCCAGCAAACACAAGAAGCAGCAUGUCACUAAUGGGCAUGUCGUGAAGUGGAGAGUUAUUUGGGAUUUCCUCGAAGAGACGAAAGACUCUUGACAGAUCAGUAGGCUCGGAAAAUGUGCUGGCCUAUCUAGAUAAGCGUAUGCUGGGAAGACUUGCAAAGCAUAUGAGAAAUGUUACAGACAUUCUCAGAGAAACCACAUACUCGUCCCAUUGUGCUGGAGGAUUCCUGCAUCUGUAUAGAGCUGGAGAUAGUAUUCACGGUGGUAUUUUUGAAGACUUUCCCCUAUUACUGAAAGACAUGACAAAAUUAAAGGUCUUGGGCAAAAUUUGGUUCUCUUGCUGCAAGAUCCCAAAGUGAUUAUGGGAGUUUUGCUUGAGUUGAGUGAAGGAUGGGGCAAGACAGCUUUAUGGGGGAUGACAUACACUUUGACAGUGUUGUAGAAUAAACUGUUGUUGUUCUUGGGUCAAGAA